UAGUCCUACGGGGCGCAGCAGUGGGGAAUAUUGCACAAUGGGGGAGACCCUGAUGCAGCGACGCCGCGUGAAGGAAGAAGUAUUUCGGUAUGUAAAGCUCUAUCAGCAGGGAAGAAAGAAAUGACGGUACCUGACUAAGAAGCCCCGGCUAACUACGUGCCAGCAGCCGCGGUAAUACGUAGGGGGCAAGCGUUAUCCGGAUUUACUGGGUGUAAAGGGAGCGUAGACGGCGAUGCAAGUCUGAAGUGAAAGGCGGGGGCCCAACCCCCGGACUGCUUUGGAAACUGUAUGGCUGGAGUGCAGGG
This 305-nucleotide ribosomal RNA is filed under the name uncultured bacterium. RNAcentral's name for it is "bacterial SSU rRNA". It matches the Rfam family "Bacterial small subunit ribosomal RNA", at positions 334 to 653 of the family's 1533-position model. The record is from RNAcentral.